CAUGCUUCCAAGAAAAGCCCUAUACCCGUUAAGGCAUGAUGGCCUGUACCCGAAACCGACACAGGUGGGGUGGUAGAGAAUACCGAGGGGCGCGAGGUAACUCUCUCUAAGGAACUCGGCAAAAUGGCCCCGUAACUUCGGGAGAAGGGGUGCCACCGCAAGGUGGUCGCAGUGAAGAGGCCCAGGCGACUGUUUACCAAAAACACAGGUCUCCGCUAAGUCGCAAGACGAUGUAUGGGGGCUGGCGCCUGCCCAGUGCCGGAAGGUUAAGGAAGCUGGUCAGCGUAAGCGAAGCUAGCGACUGAAGCCCCGGUGAACGGCGGCCGUAACAAUAACGGUCCUAAGGUAGCGAAAUUCCUUGUCGGGUAAGUUCCGACCCGCACGAAAGGCGUAACGAUCUGGGCGCUGUCUCGGAGAGAGGCUCGGCGAAAUAGAAUUGUCUGUGAAGAUGCGGACUACGUGCACCCGGACAGAAAGACCCUAUGAAGCUUUACUGUAGCUUGGUAUUGUGCUCGGGCUCGGAAUGCGCAGGAUAGGUGGGAGGCUAUGAACCAUUGCUUGCGGGUGACGGUGAGCCACUGGUGAGAUACCACUCUUUCCGAGCUAGAGUUCUAACAGCCACCCGUUAUCCGGGGGCUGGACAGUAUCAGGUGGGCAGUUUGACUGGGGCGGUCGCCUCCUAAAAGGUAACGGAGGCGCGCAAAGGUUUGCUCAGGCUGGUUGGAAAUCAGCCGACGAGUGUAAAAGCAGAAGCAAGCUUGACUGUGAGACCUACAAGUCGAACAGGGAGGAAACUCGGCUUUAGUGAUCCGACGGUUCUGCGUGGAAGGGCCGUCGCUCAACGGAUAAAAGUUACUCUAAGGAUAACAGGCUGAUCUCCCCCAAGAGUUCACAUCGACGGGGAGGUUUGGCACCUCGAUGUCGGCUCAUCGCAACCUGGGGCUGAAGUCGGUCCCAAGGGUUGGGCUGUUCGCCCAUUAAAGCGGUACGCGAGCUGGGUUCAGAACGUCGUGAGACAGUUCGGUCCAUAUCCGGUGCAUGCGCAGGAAUAUUGAGAGGAUUUCUCCCUAGUACGAGAGGACCGGGAGGAACGCACCUCUGGUGUACCAGUUAUCGUGCCAACGGUAAACGCUGGGUAGCCAUGUGCGGAGAGGAUAACCGCUGAAAGCAUCUAAGUGGGAAGCCCACCUCAAGAUGAGUAUUCCCAUGGGGUAACCCAGUAAGGUCACGGGAAGAACACCCGUUGAUAGGCUCUACGUGGAAGCGCAGUAAUGUGUGAAGCGGAGGAGUACUAAUAGACCGAGGGCUUGAUA
Molecule: ribosomal RNA, 1313 nt
Filed under: metagenome
Description: bacterial LSU rRNA
Rfam family: Bacterial large subunit ribosomal RNA
Source: RNAcentral